This 269-nucleotide ribosomal RNA is filed under the name uncultured archaeon. Its description in RNAcentral is "partial 16S ribosomal RNA". It matches the Rfam family "Archaeal small subunit ribosomal RNA", at positions 477 to 747 of the family's 1478-position model. The record is from RNAcentral.
CAGCGCCACGAGUGGCAAUCGCAUAUUGGGCCUAAAGCGUCCGUAGUCGGCUUUGUAAAUCUCCUGUGAAAUUGGCUCGCUUAACGAGUCAGCGUGCGGGAGACACUACUUUGCUUGAGACCGGGAGGAGUUAGAGGUAUUUCGGGGGGAACGGUAAAAUGUGAUAAUCCUCGAAGGACCACCUAUGGCGAAGGCAUCUAACUAGAACGGAUCUGACGAUGAGGGACGAAGGCUAGGGGAGCAAACCGGAUUAGAUACCCGAGUAGUCC